GCCAAAACUAACAAUUUAUUGAGUACUGAAUACAAACCAUACAACAUCUUGAUCAGAUAAUUAUGGCUUGAACACAUAAUGAAGAAAGAGACAUUGAAUUAGCUUUAGCAAAAGAAUCUGCAUUAUCACUAAAGCAGUUAUCUUCACACGGAAACUUUGAAUACUAAUCCUCAAAUAUAAUAGGCAGGCUUUUUGGAGGUUGAAAAAAUGUAAACCACUCUUAGUAGCAUAUUUCAUAAUCCAAGCCAACUCCAAUGUCUGUAAUUUGUAACAGAUAUUUUACAUAAUCAUGUCAGUCAUUGUGUCAAUCAGCUGCUUGAAAGUCCCCAAAAUCAUCAUCUUGGAUAUCCUGUGUGCUCUCAUUCAUGGAAGAAAUUUGCUCUUUUGGGUCUUCCAUUCUGGGGUUAGGAAACUCGUCUUUAGAAGUUCCAUCAAGUGACAUUUUUGGUGGCAGGUUUGAUGGAGAAUUUUGUACAGACGCAGCAGGUGAAAGUGGUCCUGGGGGUGGUGGGGGUGGUCUGAUACUGAGGAUGGGCUCUUUUCGGUUACCCUUCUCCUCUAUCGACAGAUUAUUUAGACCCUGCUCAAA
RNAcentral lists this unclassified non-coding RNA (589 nucleotides) under Hevea brasiliensis (rubber tree). Lineage: Eukaryota; Viridiplantae; Streptophyta; Magnoliopsida; Malpighiales; Euphorbiaceae. The record is from RNAcentral.